RNAcentral lists this ribosomal RNA (221 nucleotides) under uncultured bacterium. RNAcentral's name for it is "partial 16S ribosomal RNA". It matches the Rfam family "Bacterial small subunit ribosomal RNA", at positions 524 to 743 of the family's 1533-position model. The record is from RNAcentral.
UACGUAGGUGGCGAGCGUUGUCCGGAAUUAUUGGGCGUAAAGAGCGUGGUAGGUUGGGAUCAUAAGUCUUUUUGUCAAAGUGCGGGGCUCAACCCCGUGAUGCGGAGAACUGUGAUUCUUGAGUGCCGGAGAGGAAAGCGGAAUUCCCAGUGUAGCGGUGAAAUGCGUAGAUAUUGGGAGGAACACCAGUGGCGAAGGCGGCUUCUUGGACGGUGUCGUGA